CUAGGUUAAUAGUCAUGCGAUUCAAGUGACUUUUAAAAUAUAUAAUUACUGAAGCCAGAUAGAAUCUUAACAUUCUUGUGGGUUUAAAGGUGAAAUGUUUCAAAGGAUUGGGAAUGAACAUAUUAACAGAGAGGCUGUGAAGAAAAUGAAAGAGCUGACAGGGGCCAUAGAUCCUGACUUUCUACGGCUGAAUUCUGCUUUCAGCUCAUAAUAACUGUGGGCUCUUAGGCCUCAAUUCCCUCAUGUGUGAAAUGGAACUGUGAUUGGUAACCACCUCUUCAGAGUGUUGAGUGCUGAAUGAGAUAAUUAUCUUAAAAGUUUAGCCCAGAGCCUGCCUAGGAGCAGUUCUGUAGUGAUUCAUUAACAAUAUCUAAUCUUACUGUAACAUUAGGCAGAGAGCACUUUUCCGAGCAAGAGCAAAUGGAGUCUAGUUCUGUCCCUCCCUUUGCCUUGAAUCCAGAUUUCAGAGAGUGAUUCAUCCUAAGUCCUGCUUCUCCCUGUAUGGCAUGUGAACCCAUCCGGAUUCCUGGAAACUGCAUUCUAGUUGUUUAUCUCAGCAGGCUGAGCCGUGACCAAAGGCUCAUGACUACUAUCUCAAAAACAGUUCCAGAAGCUGGGAAGUUCAAGAUCCAAGUGCUGGCAUCUGGUGAGAGCUUUUGUGCUACAUCAGCUCACGGCAGAAGGUGGAAGGGCAGGCCCUGUGACAGCUGCACUCACAGACUAUGGCAGAAGUGA
Molecule: long non-coding RNA, 735 nt
Filed under: Callithrix jacchus (white-tufted-ear marmoset)
Lineage: Eukaryota; Metazoa; Chordata; Mammalia; Primates; Cebidae
Description: lncRNA (ENSCJAG00000063435.2)
Source: RNAcentral